UGACGAGCGGCGGACAGGUGAGUAAUGCCUGGGAAUAUACCUUUAGGUGGGGGACAACAGUUGGAAACGACUGCUAAUACCGCAUAAUGUCUACGGACCAAAGGGGGCCUCUAUUUAUAAGCUCUCGCCUUUAGAUUAGCCCAGGUGGGAUUAGCUAGUUGGUGAGGUAAUGGCUCACCAAGGCGACGAUCCCUAGCUGGUUUGAGAGGAUGAUCAGCCACACUGGGACUGAGACACGGCCCAGACUCC
Molecule: ribosomal RNA, 249 nt
Filed under: uncultured bacterium
Lineage: Bacteria
Description: partial 16S ribosomal RNA
Rfam family: Bacterial small subunit ribosomal RNA
Source: RNAcentral